This 62-nucleotide transfer RNA is filed under the name Peloridora minuta. RNAcentral's name for it is "tRNA-Asp". Lineage: Eukaryota; Metazoa; Arthropoda; Insecta; Hemiptera; Peloridiidae. The record is from RNAcentral.
AAAAAAUUAGUUUAUAAAAACAUUCAUUUGUCAAAUGAAAAAGAUUAAUUUAAUAUUUUUUA